This 276-nucleotide ribosomal RNA is filed under the name uncultured prokaryote. RNAcentral describes it as "partial 16S ribosomal RNA". It matches the Rfam family "Bacterial small subunit ribosomal RNA", at positions 524 to 801 of the family's 1533-position model. The record is from RNAcentral.
UACGUAGGGGCGAGCGUUAUCCGGAAUUACUGGGCGUAAAGGGUGCGUAGGUGGUUUCUUAAGUCAGAGGUGAAAGGCUACGGCUCAACCGUAGUAAGCCUUUGAAACUGGGAAACUUGAGUGCAGGAGAGGAGAGUGGAAUUCCUAGUGUAGCGGUGAAAUGCGUAGAUAUUAGGAGGAACAUCAGUUGCGAAGGCGGGUCUCUGGACGAUAACUGACGCUGAGGCGCGAAAGCGUGGGGAGCAAACAGGAUUAGAUACCCUGGUAGUCCCUGAG